This 533-nucleotide ribosomal RNA is filed under the name Diaporthe rudis. RNAcentral describes it as "eukaryotic LSU rRNA". It matches the Rfam family "Eukaryotic large subunit ribosomal RNA", at positions 87 to 645 of the family's 3401-position model. Lineage: Eukaryota; Fungi; Ascomycota; Sordariomycetes; Diaporthales; Diaporthaceae. The record is from RNAcentral.
CGGCGAGUGAAGCGGCAACAGCUCAAAUUUGAAAUCUGGCCUCGGCCCGAGUUGUAAUUUGCAGAGGAUGCUUCUGGCGCGGUGCCUUCCGAGUUCCCUGGAACGGGACGCCACAGAGGGUGAGAGCCCCGUAUGGUCGGACACCAAGCCUGUGUGAAGCUCCUUCGACGAGUCGAGUAGUUUGGGAAUGCUGCUCUAAAUGGGAGGUAAAUCUCUUCUAAAGCUAAAUACCGGCCAGAGACCGAUAGCGCACAAGUAGAGUGAUCGAAAGAUGAAAAGCACCUUGAAAAGGGGGUUAAAUAGUACGUGAAAUUGUUGAAAGGGAAGCACUUAUGACCAGACUUGGGCCGGGCGGCUCAUCAGGGGUUCUCCCCUGUGCACUCCGCCCGGCACAGGCCAGCAUCGGUUCUCGUGGGGGGAUAAGACCGUCAGGAACGUAGCACCCUCCGGGGUGUGUUAUAGCCUGGCGGACGAUACCCCCGUGGGGACCGAGGUCCGCGCUCCGCAAGGAUGCUGGCGUAAUGGUCAUCAGU